This 77-nucleotide transfer RNA is filed under the name Candidatus Eiseniibacteriota bacterium. RNAcentral describes it as "tRNA-Ala". It matches the Rfam family "tRNA". From Rfam's summary of the family: Transfer RNA (tRNA) molecules are approximately 80 nucleotides in length. Their secondary structure includes four short double-helical elements and three loops (D, anti-codon, and T loops). RNAcentral also lists the same sequence under 2 other names. Lineage: Bacteria; Candidatus Eiseniibacteriota. The record is from RNAcentral.
GGGGCCAUAGCUCAGUUGGGACGAGCGCUUGACUGGCAGUCAAGAGGUCGCGGGUUCGAUCCCCGCUGGCUCCACCA